UUGGAGGGCAAGUCUGGUGCCAGCAGCCGCGGUAAUUCCAGCUCCAAUAGCGUAUAUUAAAGUUGUUGCAGUUAAAAAGCUCGUAGUUGAAUUUCGGGAUUAACACAUCGGUCGUGCCUUAAGGGGUAUGAACUGGUGUAGUCAAUUUCUCACCUUCUGGAGAACCACGAUGCCCUUAAUUGGGUGUCGCGGGGAACCAGGACCUUUACUUUGAAAAAAUUAGAGUGUUUAAAGCAGGCAUUUUGCUUGAAUACAUUAGCAUGGAAUAAUAAAAUAGGACGGCAUGAUUCUAUUUUGUUGGUUUCUAGGAUCACCGUAAUGAUUAAUAGGGAUAGUUGGGGGCAUUAGUAUUCAAUUGUCAGAGGUGAAAUUCUUGGAUUUAUUGAAGACUAACUACUGCGAAAGCAUUUGCCAAGGAUGUUUUCAUUAAUCAAGAACGAAAGUUAGGGGAUCGAAGACGAUCAGAUACCGUCGUAGUCUUAACCAUAAACUAUGCCGACUAGGAAUCAGACGAUGUUAAUUUUUUAAUGACUCGUUCGGCGCCUUACGGGAAAC
Molecule: ribosomal RNA, 555 nt
Filed under: uncultured Entrophospora
Lineage: Eukaryota; Fungi; Glomeromycota; Glomeromycetes; Entrophosporales; Entrophosporaceae
Description: SSU rRNA
Rfam family: Eukaryotic small subunit ribosomal RNA
Source: RNAcentral